GGAAGGUUAAGGGGAACACUUAGCGUAAGCGAAGGUGUGAACUUAAGCCCCAGUAAACGGCGGCCGUAACUAUAACGGUCCUAAGGUAGCGAAAUUCCUUGUCGGGUAAGUUCCGACCCGCACGAAUGGCGUAAUGAUUUGGGCACUGUCUCAACAGCAAAUCCGGCGAAAUUGUAGUGCAAGUGAAGAUGCUUGCUACCCGCGAUUGGACGGAAAGACCCCGUAGAGCUUUACUGUAGCUUAGCAUUGAAUCUCGGUAUUGUCUGUACAGGAUAGGUGGGAGACUUGGAAGCUUGGGCGUCAGCCUGAGUGGAGUCAUCCUUGGGAUACCACCCUGACAGUACUGGGGUUCUAACCGGCGGCCAUGAAUCUGGUCACGGGACAUUGUUAGGUGGGCAGUUUGACUGGGGCGGUCGCCUCCUAAAAAGUAACGGAGGCGCCCAAAAGUUCCCUCAGCGCGG
This 461-nucleotide ribosomal RNA is filed under the name Clostridium botulinum. RNAcentral's name for it is "partial 23S ribosomal RNA". It matches the Rfam family "Bacterial large subunit ribosomal RNA", at positions 1871 to 2330 of the family's 2925-position model. The record is from RNAcentral. Lineage: Bacteria; Bacillati; Bacillota; Clostridia; Eubacteriales; Clostridiaceae.